RNAcentral lists this long non-coding RNA (435 nucleotides) under Homo sapiens (human). Its description in RNAcentral is "HSALNT0044942". The record is from RNAcentral. Lineage: Eukaryota; Metazoa; Chordata; Mammalia; Primates; Hominidae.
CUAGUAGUGGCAACCAGCUUGCGUCCGUUUCCAUGUUGUGGGAGAUUUGUUCUUUCGCUCUUUGUGGUAAAUCUUGCUACUGCUCACUCUUUGAGUCCACACUGCUUUUAUGAGCUGUAACACUCACCGGGAAGGUCUGCAGCUUCAAUCCUGAAGCCAGCGAGGCCACCAGCCCACCGGGAGGAACGAACAACUCCAGACGCACCGCCUUAAGAGCUGUAACACUCACCGCGAAGGUCUGCAGCUUCACUCCUGAGCCAGCGAGACCACGAACCCACCAGAAGAAAGAAACUCCGAACACAUCCGAACACCAGAAGGAACAAACUCCAGACGCGCCAACUGUAACACUCACCGCGAGGAUCCGUGGCUUCAUUCUUGAAGAUGCAGCAGGAAGAUGCCCUCUUGGAAGCACAGACAAGGCCCUCACCAGACACU